This 1608-nucleotide ribosomal RNA is filed under the name Thermobifida fusca. Its description in RNAcentral is "bacterial SSU rRNA". It matches the Rfam family "Bacterial small subunit ribosomal RNA". Lineage: Bacteria; Bacillati; Actinomycetota; Actinomycetes; Streptosporangiales; Nocardiopsidaceae. The record is from RNAcentral.
GGAGAGUUUGAUCCUGGCUCAGGACGAACGCUGGCGGCGUGCCUAAGACAUGCAAGUCGAGCGGGGAGGCUGGGGAGCUUGCUCUCCGGUCUCCUAGCGGCGGACGGGUGAGUAACACGUGGGUAACCUGCCCGGCAGUGGGGGAUAACCCUGGGAAACUGGGGCUAAUACCGCAUACGGUCCGCGCUCCGCAUGGGGUGUGGAGGAAAGGCCGCUGGAGAGGCGGUCGCUGCCGGAGGGGCCCGCGGCCCAUCAGCUCGUUGGUGGGGUAACGGCCCACCAAGGCGACGACGGGUAGCCGGCCUGAGAGGGUGGUCGGCCACACGGGGACUGAGACACGGCCCCGACUCCUACGGGAGGCAGCAGUCGGGAAUCUUGCGCAAUGGGCGAAAGCCUGACGCAGCGACGCCGCGUGGGGGAGGAAGCCCUUCGGGGUGUAAACCCCUGUCGUCCGGGACGAAGGUCGGGGGUGAGGAGCCCUCGGCUGACGGUACCGGAAGAGGAAGCCCCGGCUAACUACGUGCCAGCAGCCGCGGUAAGACGUAGGGGGCGAGCGUUGUCCGGAAUCACUGGGCGUAAAGGGCGCGUAGGCGGCCUGGCAAGUCGGAUGUGAAAGGCCCCGGCUCAACCGGGGAGGUGCAUUCGAAACUGCCGGGCUUGAGGGCAGGAGAGGGCAGCGGAAUUCCCGGUGGAGCGGUGAAAUGCGUAGAGAUCGGGAGGAACACCAGUGGCGAAGGCGGCUGCCUGGCCUGGCCCUGACGCUGAGGCGCGACAGCGUGGGGAGCGAACGGGAUUAGAUACCCCGGUAGUCCACGCCGUAAACGAUGGGUGCUAGGUGUGGGAGGUAUCGACCCCUUCCGUGCCGGAGCUAACGCACUAAGCACCCCGCCUGGGGAGUACGGCCGCAAGGCUGAAACUCAAAGGAAUUGACGGGGGCCCGCACAAGCGGUGGAGCAUGUGGUUUAAUUCGAAGCUACGCGAAGAACCUUACCUGGGCUUGACAUCACCGCGAACCUGGCCGAAAGGCUGGGGUGCCCCUUUGGGGAGCGCGGUGACAGGUGCUGCAUGGUUGUCGUCAGCUCGUGUCGUGAGAUGUUGGGUUAAGUCCCGCAACGAGCGCAACCCCCGCCCUGUGUUGCCAGCGGUUCGGCCGGGCACUCACAGGGGACUGCCGGUGACAAACCGGAGGAAGGUGGGGAUGACGUCAAAUCAUCAUGGCCCUUAUGCCCAGGGCUACACACGUGCUACAAUGGCCGGUACAACGGGUUGCGAACCCGCGAGGGGGAGCCAAUCCCUAAAAGCCGGUCCCAGUUCGGAUCGCAGGCUGCAACUCGCCUGCGUGAAGCCGGAAUCGCUAGUAAUCGCGGAUCAGCAUGCCGCGGUGAAUACGUUCCCGGGCCUUGUACACACCGCCCGUCACACCACGGGAGCCGGCAACACCCGAAGCCGGUGGCCCAACCCCGCCGGAAGGGGUGGGGCUUGGCGGGAGCGCGAAGUCCCAGCCCUUCCGGUGGGGAGGGAGCCGUCGAAGGUGGGGCCGGUGACUGGGGUGAAGUCGUAACAAGGUAGCCCUACGGGAACGUGGGGCUGGAUCACCUCCUUUCUAAG